RNAcentral lists this ribosomal RNA (459 nucleotides) under uncultured bacterium. RNAcentral's name for it is "partial 16S ribosomal RNA". It matches the Rfam family "Bacterial small subunit ribosomal RNA", at positions 338 to 795 of the family's 1533-position model. The record is from RNAcentral.
CCUACGGGAGGCAGCAGUGAGGAAUAUUGGUCAAUGGUCGGGAGACUGAACCAGCCACGCCGCGUGAGGGAGGAAGGUACAGAGUAUCGUAAACCUCUUUUGUCAGGGAACAAAGACUGGGACGCGUCCCCGGAUGAGUGUACCUGAAGAAAAAGCAUCGGCUAACUCCGUGCCAGCAGCCGCGGUAAUGGGGAGGAUGCGAUCGGUGUCCGGAUUUGUUGGGUUUAGAGGGUGCGCAGGCGUUCUGUUAAGUCAGCGGUCAAAGCCCGGGGCUAAACCCGGGCCCGCCGGUGAAACUGGCAGUCUCGAGUUGGAGAGAAGUAUGCGGAAUGCGCGGUGUAGCGGUGAAAUGCAUAGAUAUCGCGCAGAACUCCGAUUGCGAAGGCAGCAUGCCGGCUCCACACUGACGCUGAGGAACGAAAGCGUGGGUAUCGAACAGGAUUAGAUACCCCGGUAGUC